CAAUAGCGUAUAUUAAAGUUGCUGCGGUUAAAAAGCUCGUAGUUGGAUCUCAGUUACGGACAAGUGGUUCUCCUUUCGGUGCUACUACUUGGGCCGGAUCUAUUGCUGGUUCCUCCAAGGUCUCCUUCACUGGGUGCCUUGGUAGACCAGAGCGUUUACUUUGAAAAAAUUAGAGUGCUCAAAGCAGGCGAUUGCCUGAACAGUCGUGCAUGGAAUAAUGGAAAAUGGCCUCGGUGCUAUUUUGUUGGUUCUCGGUACUCGAGGUAAUGGUUGAAAGGGACAGACGGGGGCAUUCGUAUUGCGACGUUAGAGGUGAAAUUCUUAGAUCGUCGCAAGACGAACUACUGCGAAAGCAUUUGCCAAGAAUGUUUNCAUUAA
This 378-nucleotide ribosomal RNA is filed under the name uncultured eukaryote. Its description in RNAcentral is "partial 18S ribosomal RNA". It matches the Rfam family "Eukaryotic small subunit ribosomal RNA", at positions 592 to 976 of the family's 1831-position model. The record is from RNAcentral.